UAGGGAAUCUUCCACAAUGGACGCAAGUCUGAUGGAGCAACGCUGCGUGAGUGAAGAAGGUUUUCGGAUCGUAAAGCUCUGUUGUUGGUGAAGAAGGAUAGAGGCAGUAACUGGUCUUUAUUUGACGGUAAUCAACCAGAAAGUCACGGCUAACUACGUGCCAGCAGCCGCGGUAAUACGUAGGUGGCAAGCGUUGUCCGGAUUUAUUGGGCGUAAAGCGAGCGCAGGCGGAAUGAUAAGUCUGAUGUGAAAGCCCACGGCUCAACCGUGGAACUGCAUCGGAAACUGUCAUUCUUGAGUGCAGAAGAGGAGAGUGGAAUUCCAUGUGUAGCGGUGGAAUGCGUAGAUAUAUGGAAGAACACCAGUGGCGAAGGCGGCUCUCUGGUCUGCAACUGACGCUGAGGCUCGAAAGCAUGGGUAGCGAACAGG
Molecule: ribosomal RNA, 429 nt
Filed under: bacterium
Lineage: Bacteria
Description: partial 16S ribosomal RNA
Rfam family: Bacterial small subunit ribosomal RNA
Source: RNAcentral